UUCAGCGGGAGUUCAGUAGUCGAAGUUCAAUAUUUACUCAAAUACUUAAACACAUACAAUAAGUUUCAGUGUGUUUUUUGGAAUUUAUUUGCACUUUUAUUUACUCAUUACGCUGACAAUUUCCGCGCCGAUAAUUUGUUUUGGUUGUUUAAUGUCAAAAAUUGGUUGGCUUUUAAUUAUCGCUAACAAGAUUGGAAUAGGCCAGGCAACGGGCGAGCUUCGGAAGUCACUUAAGGUUGGAACAUGUCCGCUAAGUAAAUAACCAAAUGUCCGUCCAUUCAACAAAAGCAGCGAAUACAUUUUUGGACAACUCAUUUGGCCAUACAGUCGUAAUGGAUUUGGUCGUCUAAUAGCACAGUGGGAUGCCUCUUUCGGACACAAUAGAAGUGCAUUCAUAUGAUGCGGACGAAAAUAUUUAGCCGGCUAAUUUGGAAUUUAAUCAGACAAAUGGUUACUCUUAUCCAGAUUAUUUAUUAAAUUUUUAUGUUAAAUAACAUCUAUGCACAUUUGCAGAAUAAAAUGAUAG
Rhagoletis pomonella (apple maggot) is the source of this 526-nucleotide long non-coding RNA. RefSeq lists it as uncharacterized. The record is from RefSeq and is a predicted model, not a curated record. The transcript has 3 exons. NCBI's taxonomy places the organism in Eukaryota, Metazoa, Arthropoda, Insecta, Diptera, Tephritidae.